GCGGGCGUAGUUCAGUGGUAGAACGACAGCUUCCCAAGCUGUAUGUCGCGGGUUCGAUUCCCGCCGCCCGCUCCA
This 75-nucleotide transfer RNA is filed under the name Xanthobacter autotrophicus. Its description in RNAcentral is "tRNA-Gly". It matches the Rfam family "tRNA". Rfam says of the family: Transfer RNA (tRNA) molecules are approximately 80 nucleotides in length. Lineage: Bacteria; Pseudomonadati; Pseudomonadota; Alphaproteobacteria; Hyphomicrobiales; Xanthobacteraceae. RNAcentral also lists the same sequence under 7 other names. The record is from RNAcentral.